GACAGAGGCCUCGAGCGUUAGGCGGAAUCACUGGGCUUAAAGCGUGUGUAGGCGGCAGCGUAAGUACCUUGUGAAAUCCCACGGCUCAACCGUGGAACUGCUGGGUAUACUGCGUUUCUUGAGCAAUCUAGGGGCGAGUGGAACGGAUGGUGGAGCGGUGAAAUGCAUAGAUAUCAUCCGGAACGCCUGUGGUGAAGACGACUCGCUGGGGAUUUGCUGACGCUGAGACACGAAAGCCAGGGGAGCAAACGGG
RNAcentral lists this ribosomal RNA (253 nucleotides) under uncultured bacterium. RNAcentral's name for it is "partial 16S ribosomal RNA". It matches the Rfam family "Bacterial small subunit ribosomal RNA", at positions 524 to 776 of the family's 1533-position model. The record is from RNAcentral.